Molecule: small nuclear RNA, 104 nt
Organism: Suncus etruscus (white-toothed pygmy shrew)
Lineage: Eukaryota; Metazoa; Chordata; Mammalia; Eulipotyphla; Soricidae
Source: RefSeq, a predicted model, not a curated record
GUGCUCGCUUCAGCACAUAAACUAAAAUUGGAACAAUACAGAGAAGAUUACCAUGGCCCCUGCAUAAGGAUGACACACAAAUUCAUGAAGCAUUUCAUAUUUAA